This 179-nucleotide non-coding RNA is filed under the name Roseinatronobacter ekhonensis. Its description in RNAcentral is "Rhodobacter sp. EL-50 Ruegeria cis52 sRNA". It matches the Rfam family "Ruegeria cis52 sRNA". From Rfam's summary of the family: Cis-encoded. Targets oligo/dipeptide ABC transporter. The record is from Rfam by way of RNAcentral. Lineage: Bacteria; Pseudomonadati; Pseudomonadota; Alphaproteobacteria; Rhodobacterales; Paracoccaceae.
UGCGCAACGCGUGGCGCAACACGAUAUUGGGAAAGCUGACGCCCUUGAGGCGCGCCGUGCGGACAUAUUGCUGCGUCAUGACUUCGGUCAUCGACGCGCGGGUGAUCCGUGCGACAUAGCCCAUACCGUAAAGUGCGACGGUCAUCACCGGCAGCGCGAAAUUCCAGAAGGUAAUGUUG